AUGUGUGUGAAGGAUCAGCGAUGAAGGUUGAUGAUGACUGUGAUGAUCCACAUCUAUUAAUUGCGUCUCAAUUUAAUACUUAUUUGGAAGAAGAAUGCUCUAGUCUGUGUAAAUCUGAGGUUGAUAGGUACUUGGCAGAUAGGUGUGAAGCUUCCAAUGAAGAAAAGUUUGAUAUAUUGGGAUGGUGGAAGGUCAAUUCUUCCAAGUAUAGAGUGUUGUCUCAAGUUGCAUGUGAUGUCUUGGCAAUACCCGUCUCUACAGUAGCUUCUGAAUCAGCCUUUAGUACAGGAGGACGCAUUUUAGACCCAUUUCGUAGUUCAUUAUCUCCAAUGAUGGUGGAGGCUCUGAUAUGUACAUAGAAUUGGCUGCAAAGCAUAGUUCCUAUUUCUCUUCGGAAGGCAAUGGAUGAUGUGGAGGAACUUGAACAAUAUGACCCUGCAGCUCUUUCUGAAUUGGCAUCAACCUCAAACCCAAGUCCAAAUAUUAUCACACUCUAGUAUGGCUUGGCUUCGAUCUUUUUGGUUUCAUGGGGAGUUAACUGACUUUCUUGACUUUUGGUUUUAUACAAUUAACAUAGAUCAGUACUCUUCUUUUUGACUUUAUGAACAAAUAUUUUUGCACAUGGAUAGUGAUUGGGAUAACUAUACUUGUGAAUGUUUUGAUGGAUUACUGUCUGUAAUUAUGAUAGACUGAAAAUGGAUGGUGACAAACUAA
Camellia sinensis is the source of this 714-nucleotide non-coding RNA. NCBI's taxonomy places the organism in Eukaryota, Viridiplantae, Streptophyta, Magnoliopsida, Ericales, Theaceae. The record is from RefSeq and is a predicted model, not a curated record.